GCGACCGCCCAGCACCAGGCGGGAGGCAGAGGAGCAGAACAGCAGGAGCUCCGGGAGUGCCACUCCAGCGUUCCCAGACGGCAGGGCCAGACCUCUGGGAGUCUCUGUUUCCCAGGUCCUGCCAUCAGAGGUACUGUCUUAGUCCUUAAAGGGUCAUCCUGCUGCUGUGUGGAAGACGCUGACCCCAAAGCCAGGAAGAGGGGACCUCCCUAGCAUGCACACCCCCAUUCAAGCAAAGGGGCCGUUUUAGUCAGCUUUUAUGCUGUUGUGACUAAAAGACCCGGCAAGAAAAUUCUGGAGAAGAAAAAGCUUAUUUGGGGGCUCAGGGUUUCAGAGGCUCAGUCCAUAGACGCAGGUUCCUUCCCGGGGCUCCAGGUGAGGCAGGACAUGAUGGCAGAGUGUGUGGCAGAGGGAAGCAGCUCGCAUGGUGAUCAGGAAGCAGAGAGAGACUCCACUCACCAGAUACAAAGUACAGACCCCAAAGGGGUACACCACCACCUCCUCCAGCCACACCCCACCUGCCUUCAAUUACCCCCAGUAACACCCUCAGGGGGUCAAUGUACUGAUUGGUGGAUGCUCUCCUAACCAGUCAUUUCACCCCCAAGCCUUCCGGCACUGUCUCACACGUGAGCUUUGGGGGACACCUCACAUCCAGGCCAUGAGAGGGACUUCACAGGACUUCAUACCUAAAACAAAUACUGCUCAUGCUGUGGGUGUCGAGGCCCCGGGCCAGGUCCUAGGAGGUAAG
RNAcentral lists this long non-coding RNA (748 nucleotides) under Marmota monax (woodchuck). Lineage: Eukaryota; Metazoa; Chordata; Mammalia; Rodentia; Sciuridae. The record is from RNAcentral.